This 292-nucleotide ribosomal RNA is filed under the name uncultured bacterium. RNAcentral's name for it is "partial 16S ribosomal RNA". It matches the Rfam family "Bacterial small subunit ribosomal RNA", at positions 505 to 796 of the family's 1533-position model. The record is from RNAcentral.
GUGUCAGCAGCCGCGGUAAGACGUAGGAUGCGAGCGUUGUCCGGAUUUAUUGGGCGUAAAGAGUUCGUAGGUGGUUUGGUAAGUCUGGUGUAAAAGGCUGGGGCUCAACCCUGGUACAGCACUGGAUACUGUCAGACUGGAGUGCAGUAGAGGCAAGCGGAAUUCCCAGUGUAGCGGUGAAAUGCGUAGAUAUUGGGAAGAACACCGGUGGCGCAAGCGGCUUGCUGGGCUGUUACUGACACUGAGGAACGAAAGCUAGGGGAGCAAAUGGGAUUAGAUACCCUGGUAGUCC